AUUGAACGCUGGCGGCAUGCCUUACACAUGCAAGUCGAACGGCAGCACGGGAGCAAUCCUGGUGGCGAGUGGCGAACGGGUGAGUAAUGUAUCGGAACGUACCUUUCAGUGGGGGAUAACGUAGCGAAAGUUACGCUAAUACCGCAUAUUCUGUGAGCAGGAAAGCAGGGGAUCGCAAGACCUUGCGCUGAUUGAGCGGCCGAUAUCAGAUUAGCUAGUUGGUGAGGUAAAGGCUCACCAAGGCGACGAUCUGUAGCGGGUCUGAGAGGAUGAUCCGCCACACUGGAACUGAGACACGGUCCAGACUCCUACGGGAGGCAGCAGUGGGGAAUUUUGGACAAUGGGCGCAAGCCUGAUCCAGCCAUGCCGCGUGAGUGAAGAAGGCCUCGGUUGUAAGACGUC
RNAcentral lists this ribosomal RNA (402 nucleotides) under uncultured bacterium. RNAcentral's name for it is "bacterial SSU rRNA". It matches the Rfam family "Bacterial small subunit ribosomal RNA", at positions 30 to 434 of the family's 1533-position model. The record is from RNAcentral.